RNAcentral lists this ribosomal RNA (854 nucleotides) under uncultured bacterium. RNAcentral's name for it is "bacterial SSU rRNA". It matches the Rfam family "Bacterial small subunit ribosomal RNA", at positions 462 to 1325 of the family's 1533-position model. The record is from RNAcentral.
UAGGAGCUUGACGGUACCGUAAGAAUAAGGAUCGGCUAACUCCGUGCCAGCAGCCGCGGUAAUACGGAGGAUCCAAGCGUUAUCCGGAAUCAUUGGGUUUAAAGGGUCCGUAGGCGGUUUGGUAAGUCAGUGGUGAAAGCCCAUCGCUCAACGGUGGAACGGCCAUUGAUACUGCCGAACUUGAAUUAUUGGGAAGUAACUAGAAUAUGUAGUGUAGCGGUGAAAUGCUUAGAGAUUACAUGGAAUACCAAUUGCGAAGGCAGGUUACUACCAAUGGAUUGACGCUGAUGGACGAAAGCGUGGGUAGCGAACAGGAUUAGAUACCCUGGUAGUCCACGCCGUAAACGAUGGAUACUAGCUGUUGGUGGCAACAUCAGUGGCUAAGCGAAAGUGAUAAGUAUCCCACCUGGGGAGUACGAACGCAAGUUUGAAACUCAAAGGAAUUGACGGGGGCCCGCACAAGCGGUGGAGCAUGUGGUUUAAUUCGAUGAUACGCGAGGAACCUUACCAAGGCUUAAAUGCAGACUGACCGAUUUGGAAACAGAUCUUUCGCAAGACAGUUUACAAGGUGCUGCAUGGUUGUCGUCAGCUCGUGCCGUGAGGUGUCAGGUUAAGUCCUAUAACGAGCGCAACCCCUGUUGUUAGUUGCCAGCGAGUAGUGUCGGGAACUCUAACAAGACUGCCAGUGCAAACUGUGAGGAAGGUGGGGAUGACGUCAAAUCAUCACGGCCCUUACGCCUUGGGCUACACACGUGCUACAAUGGCCGGUACAGAGAGCAGCCACCCCGCGAGGGGGAGCGAAUCUAUAAAGCCGGUCACAGUUCGGAUCGGAGUCUGCAACUCGACUCCGGAAG